Molecule: non-coding RNA, 89 nt
Organism: Ixodes scapularis (black-legged tick)
Lineage: Eukaryota; Metazoa; Arthropoda; Arachnida; Ixodida; Ixodidae
Source: Rfam
CCCUGGUUAGCUCAGUUGGAACUUGGUAGAGCGCUCCACUUGUAAUGGAGAGGACCCGGGUUGCCCGGGUUCGAUACCCGGACCAGGCG